GAUGAACGCUAGCUACAGGCUUAACACAUGCAAGUCGAGGGGAAACGAUAUUGGAAGCUUGCUUCCGAUAGGCGUCGACCGGCGCACGGGUGAGUAACGCGUAUCCAACCUGCCCAUCACUUGGGGAUAACCUUGCGAAAGUAAGACUAAUACCCAAUGACGUCUCUAGAAGACAUCUGAAAGAGAUUAAAGAUUUAUCGGUGAUGGAUGGGGAUGCGUCUGAUUAGCUUGUUGGCGGGGUAACGGCCCACCAAGGCGACGAUCAGUAGGGGUUCUGAGAGGAAGGUCCCCCCACAUUGGAACUGAGACACGGUCCAAACUCCUACGGGAGGCAGCAGUGAGGAAUAUUGGUCAAUGGACGAGAGUCUGAACCAGCCAAGUAGCGUGCAGGAAGACGGCCCUAUGGGUUGUAAACUGCUUUUAUAAGGGAAUAAAGUGAGUCUCGUGAGACUUUUUGCAUGUACCUUAUGAAUAAGGACCGGCUAAUUCCGUGUCCAGCAGCCG
This 504-nucleotide ribosomal RNA is filed under the name uncultured bacterium. Its description in RNAcentral is "bacterial SSU rRNA". It matches the Rfam family "Bacterial small subunit ribosomal RNA", at positions 28 to 517 of the family's 1533-position model. The record is from RNAcentral.